Molecule: unclassified non-coding RNA, 258 nt
Filed under: Hevea brasiliensis (rubber tree)
Lineage: Eukaryota; Viridiplantae; Streptophyta; Magnoliopsida; Malpighiales; Euphorbiaceae
Source: RNAcentral
GCCAUUAUAUAACUACAAAUUUUUUGCAUAGAUUGUGAAAUGCUUUAAAUGAAUGUAUAUCAAAGGAGUUGCAAAAAUUAAUGAGCAUGAUACAUCAAAUAAUGGCAUUGAAUUCAUGAUUUGUAUUCAUUAUUAUCAAUCUGCAAUUUAGCUUACCUGUGCAUUAAAUUUAUACAUGUUUGGGUUAUGAACAUUAAUCAAACUGAACUUCUGAUCAAUGUUUAGUUCAGUUUCAAAUGUGGGUUAAUAAAAGGUAAU